Long non-coding RNA from Cygnus olor (mute swan), 866 nucleotides. RefSeq lists it as uncharacterized. Lineage: Eukaryota; Metazoa; Chordata; Aves; Anseriformes; Anatidae. The record is from RefSeq and is a predicted model, not a curated record. The transcript is spliced from 3 exons.
GUCUACAUGCUAUCUUUAAAUGACCCAUUUUGCUGUGGCAUGAAGUCUGAUGCAAGCUAAUUCCCUGUACCAGGAACUGUCAUGCUAGUUCUGUCAUGUGCACACAGGACUCUAACUUCCUGCUUGGUGAUGGCUGACCAGCGACAUCUUCUAGACAUUUCUGUGUCUAGUAGAAUUUAGUAGAAUUCCAGCUACCUUGUGCUGAAGUGCUAAAAAUCUGAGUGAGCUGAAAUGUCUCUGCACCUGCCUUUCAUCUCUAGUCUGCUGAGACUGAUGGCCUAAGCAUGUUCUGAUUCAUCUUGCCUGUCAGGCAACCCUGUCAACAUACAUAACAUGGACAAAGGAUGGCAAGCCUCUGGAGGGUAAGAAACAACCCAUCUACUUCUGAGUAACUACAAUAUCAUCUUAAGGACAUUAAAGAGCUCCCAGGAAGGAGAAGCGGAUUUCUGAUUCCCUGAAGACAAAUGAACAUAUGGAGCCUGAAGCGUAUUUUUAAGUGAAGGUAGUGAGAGAUGCAGGAAAGUCAGAGACUGUAGCUUUGAAGGCUGUGGGGAGGAGGAGGAUCUUCACACAACUGCAAGCAGACCCAGACUGCUCAAAGGUUGUGGAAAGAUUUUCCAAGAAACACAAAAUUGUUUGGAAUAUAUAGUGUUCAGCCCAUAUUAAUCUAACUUUUGGACACCCUGUAUUCUCCCAGAUUAUCUAUCAAGUCCUCUAAACAGAGUGGGAGGGUAAAUAGUGCCCAUGACUAGAAACCCCAAGAUUGAUCUGGUACAUAACUGAAUAAAUCCUUACCAUAGCAAAAAGAGUGGAAACAUUCCAGCUCUUAUUCUGCUUCAAAUUAUUUAAAAAAAAAUAAUAUGAAA